UUCGCCCUUUACCGGUGCGGGCCGUGAAAGCGGUAGCCUGGAGAUGGGCACUGAGACAAGGGCCCAGGCCCUACGGGGCGCAGCAGCUACGAAAACUCUGCUAUGCGCGAAAGCGCGACAGGGCUACCCCGAGUGCCGUCCGCUGAGGAUGGCUUUUAUUCGGCGUAAGUCGAAGGAAUAAGGGGAGGGCAAGCCUGGUGUCAGCCGCCGCGGUAAUACCAGCUCCUCAAGUGGUGGGGAUGAUUAUUGGGCCUAAAGCGCCCGUAGCCGGUUCGGUAAGUCUUCUGUUAAAUCCAACGACUCAAUCGUUGGACUGCGGGAGAUACUGCUGGACUAGGAGGCGGAAGAAGCCGACGGUACUCUUAGGGUAGGGGUGAAAUCCUAUAAUCCUAAGAGGACCACCAGUGGCGAAGGCGGUCGGCGAGAACGCGCCCGACGG
Molecule: ribosomal RNA, 439 nt
Filed under: uncultured crenarchaeote
Lineage: Archaea; Thermoproteati; Thermoproteota
Description: bacterial SSU rRNA
Rfam family: Archaeal small subunit ribosomal RNA
Source: RNAcentral